AAUAGAUACCCAGGUAGUCCACGCCCUAAACGAUGUCGACUAGGUGUUGGGGAAGGAGACUUCCUUAGUACCGCAGCUAACGCGUGAAGUCGACCGCCUGGGGAGUACGGUCGCAAGAUUAAAACUCAAAGGAAUUGACGGGGGACCCGCACAAGCGGUGGAUGAUGUGGAUUAAUUCGAUGCAACGCGAUGAACCUUACCUACCCUUGACAUGUACGGAAGUCCGCUGAGAGGUGGAUGUGCCCGAAAGGGAGCCGUAACACAGGUGCUGCAUGGCUGUCGUCAGCUCGUGUCGUGAGAUGUUGGGUUAAGUCCCGCAACGAGCGCAACCCUUGCCAUUAGUUGCCACAUUCAGUUGGGCACUCUAAUGGGGACUGCCGGUGACAAACCGGAGGAAGGUGGGGAUGACGUCAAGUCCCCAUGGCCCUUGUGGGUAGGGCCUCACACGUCAUCAAUGGCGCAUACAGAGGGGUUGCCAAACCCGGCAGGGGGGAGCCAAUCCCAGAAAGUGCGUCGUAGUCCGGAUUGGAGUCUGC
Molecule: ribosomal RNA, 536 nt
Filed under: uncultured bacterium
Lineage: Bacteria
Description: bacterial SSU rRNA
Rfam family: Bacterial small subunit ribosomal RNA
Source: RNAcentral